RNAcentral lists this long non-coding RNA (2943 nucleotides) under Ananas comosus (pineapple). Its description in RNAcentral is "long non-coding RNA (ACOM_LNC003927)". The record is from RNAcentral. Lineage: Eukaryota; Viridiplantae; Streptophyta; Magnoliopsida; Poales; Bromeliaceae.
CAUGUGCGAAUGAGCACAAUGGCAAGCAUGCGUGUAAGGUACCGGACUUCUAAAUCAUGGAGUUAUGGUGUACAUUUGGUUAGUGAGCCAUUAGAAGGGUUCCGAUGAAGUUCGGUGAAGUUCGGGAGCAUUCGGGCGAUUCGGUGCGCGUAGGCGCGGAAACGGGACCCGAAAGGCUAUGUUGGGUUGUGAACUAAAUCCGGCGUUAGCGUGGAUGAAAAGAUGAUGAAAAUACGCUCGAAAACAUGUUUGGAGAGUCUCGGUUCGAUUUGAAACGAAUCGGAGGUCAAACGGGCGAAAACGGAGCGAAAACGGACCCCGAAAGCUGAAAAAGCUGAAAAUUUGGCUAAGUCUGGAAUGCUGUUUUUCUGGACGUUCGGGGACCGGUCCCUCAAGUCCAGAGACCGGUCCCAGCACCCGAAAAUGGCCCAGUUUGGGCUGUGUGUGACUUAUAUUGUUGAGGGACCUUUGUGCAAUUGUGCAAAGGGUAUAGAGGUGUGUUGGAGCUCAUUUCUCUCCUUCUCCCUCACAUUUGCAACCAAAAGAAGACCUCUCUCUCUCUCAAGCUCUCCUCUCUCUCUCUACAAGGGUGGAUCUUGGAGGUUGAUUUGGUGGAGAACAAGAUCAAGAGAGGGAUUAGCAUCUUCUUCUUCUUCCUCUCCACCAUUGGAGCUUGCUUUAGAGGUAAGCUUGCUACCCCUUUAAUGGUAGAUCUUUAAUGGUUGGUUUAAAUACCUUAUAAAUGGUAUUUUUGGAAUCCUAGGAUGCUAAUUAGAUGGAUUAUGAUUGGAUCCAAAGCUAGAAUGGUGGAUUUUUACCUAGUUGAAACCUAGGGCUCCAAAAUGGGAUUUUGGGAAAUAUAGGGUUUUGAUCUAAAUUGAAUGGUUGUAAACCUAAUUGCUAGGUAUUCCGACGCGUUGGCGAAGUUGGUUCGUCGAUUUGUCGAGCGGGUGCCAAGAUAUUGAAGAAAAGGUUUGUUGAGGUACAGAUUGCCGCAGCUCGCAGCGAAAGCUUCCUAAAAUCGCAAAAUCGGAAUCGUGGGCUCGUGGCAUCACCUAAAGGUGGGGGGUGUCAUCCCGAAGCAACUGGGCUUCUCCCUAUGUCUAAGUUUCAUUAUCGAUCAUGUUGCAUAUCGAGCUUUGCAUUAUAAGGUGCUAGAUGAUAAAUGUAUAUAUAUAUAUAUAUAUAUAUAUAUAUAUAUAUAUUCUUGCAUGCUAGUAGAGUAGUGUAAAGUUGAAUUGCUUAAAUACUUGUACCUAAUAUGCAUGAGAUUGGGACGUAGUGUUGUGAAACCCUAUAAUGACAUGGUUAAGGUGGAUUAAACUCUAGUUGAAUGACAACCUAGUGUGUUAUGUGCAAGUGGCGUAUUGAGAACGUUGAACUAUGAUGAGUGGCAUCUAGUUAAUGUUAAACUUGACGAGUGGCAUGAUAAGUAAAGUAUAGUGGAGAUACUUGUUGCAUGUUAAACUUAGGGGUGAACUAGUUCCCAAGUGAGGUCGUCUAGAGUGGUAGGGUAUCCUCAGUGACGGGGAUUUGAUUAUACUCAUAUGUCUGUUCGUAGCUUGGGGUGGUCGCUCCACACAAGCAGUGCACUCCGGAGUUGUCACACGAUAGGGAUAGCCGUUAGGGUCCCGAGGGAUAGCCGUUAGGAUCCCGCAGACAGUCUUGGGCGAGUGAGCUGAUCCUACCCAGGUGAGUCGGGUGAGUGAGCUGAUCCUCACCUAUGAGUUGAGAUUGGGUUGUCGUACUUGUGUGUGAGUCGGGCGAGUGAGCGGAUCCUCCCCGUUAUGACUAGAUUGUGAGUCGGGCGAGUGAGCGGAUCCUCCCCGUUAUGACUAGAUUGUGAGUUGGGAGAGCGAGCGGAUCCUCCCCGUAGAGAGUGUGUGUGUGUUGUGAGUCGGGCGAGUGAGCGGAUCCUCCCCGUAGAGAGUGUGUGUGUGUUGUGAGUCGGGCGAGUGAGCGGAUCCUCCCCUGUGUGACUGUGUGGACGUGUGUGACUUCUUGACAUAGUAUCAUGUGGUAGAUUGCAUAUUAUGUUGUAGUUCAUACAUUUGACUUUUGAUGGCAUAGUAGAUCUUAGUUGCAGUUCAAUAUCUAUCUAUCUAUCUAUCUGUCUGUCUAUCUGUGCCAGCUUAGACCUAGUGGGAAGAUCGGCGGAGUCGGCGGCCGAACCCACUGGGAACUAUAUUUAUAUAGUUCUCACCCCGUGUGGUUUUGGGGUACAGGUACACACGAGAGUGGUCCGGCAGUUGAUCGCGGUAAGGGCUUAGCGCCCUAGAGGUUGUAGUAGUAGCUCUCUUACCCUUUGCAUUAGAGCUACCUUGUACAUACUUGAGAGUAGAUGAUGUAUAGGUGUGAGAUGUUUUGGAAAAUUGUAAACUUUAAGUUUAUGUUGUAUUUUGGAUGAAUGUGAAGUAAUCAAAUGUAUUAAAGUUGAAUGGAUGUAAUAGAUUAGUAUCUCUCUUUUAUUCACUUGUUUAUUACUUGUGAUGCUUGCUCUUUAGUUAAUUAGCACUGGUUGUGCUCUCGCUGUUGUUGUCUGAUUGUGUAUGUAAUCAAGUUGUUUUCCUGGGCACUUGUGUACACAAUCUCGUUGCUUAGCCGUGGGCGGACAGGGGAGGUGCUGUCCGUUCGGCGUCUGUCCGACGUGCCCGAACAGGCCAAAUUGGUAGAGGUCUCGGGGCGUGACAAUGCAUAUAAGUCUGUCUCAAGUACCAAGUCCUCAUGUCUAAAACAUGGAAUAUAUCGAAUGUCACAAAGGCCUAUCACUAUGUCGUCAUGUCUCUAACAUGGAAUAUAGUCGAUGUCUAAUGGCCUAUCACUAUGUCUCUAUGUUGCAUUUUCAUAGUUUACUAGUUCCAAGUGCCCCUUUAUGACACUAUUGUUCAAUGAGUCCAAGCAUGGUAUUUAUGUUAAUGAAUACAUAAUUCUACUCAUUUCAAA